Pongo pygmaeus (Bornean orangutan) is the source of this 694-nucleotide long non-coding RNA. RefSeq lists it as uncharacterized. The transcript is spliced from 3 exons. NCBI's taxonomy places the organism in Eukaryota, Metazoa, Chordata, Mammalia, Primates, Hominidae. The record is from RefSeq and is a predicted model, not a curated record.
GGGGACCGAGGGUCGGCGUCACAGUGAGAGAGCCGUGAUGGAGGACGGGGUCACCCUGCUCGCCCAGUGCGGGGAGCUCCGUCAUACAGAAUCCCAAACGGGCUGGAACUGUUCUUGCAAAGACUGGGCUGAGAUGCACGAGUAAAUCUGACGUGUCCACCCUCAUCUCUACAGGAUCAGCCCCAGCUCUGGGGCCAAGGACUCCUUGGCUCACUGAAGAAUCCCACCAUGCAGGUACAAUGAUGUACAAAACAGGAAGCAAAGCACUGAACACAGAACCUGGCAAGCUGUAAUCAUCUGGCGCAUCUGAACUGUCUGGGUGGUGUCUCCGCUGCUGCCGCCUGAGUGCAGGUUUCCAUCAUCUGUUGCCUGUUGACCACGAAACUCCCAACUCAUCCCUUUCACUCCAGCCUUCCUCAAACCCCAGGGUCUUCCACCCACUAGGACCAGAGUGAUCCUCUGAACAUAAAACUGAUUGAUAACAGAUCAUCCAAAUAGACUAAUAAUCGACCAAUUAAUAAUUGACAAUCAAAAAAUUCUCUCCUCCAAAACAAACAAACAAAAAAAAAAACAAGAAAACUGUCAAAAAUUGUCAAAAUCAACUUUUCUAGAACUCUGAAAGUUAACCACCAAAGGCUUGGAAUAAUCUGGGAAGCUUUUAUUUAAUUAAAAUGGCUGAGUCUUGGUAUGAACA